GCCUAAGCUUCAAUUCCUGCUUCAGAGUGGUGAAGUGGUUAACUCUUUGCCCAGCUUGCUCACUAACUAGCAUGAUUACUUCGAGAACAUGGAACAGACUGGAGCAGAGCUGGUAUGGAGCCAAAGUGGACCCAAUGGGACACAGCCAUGAAAGAUUCCAGGCAUCAAACCAGCUGGAACUAUUCAUUUUAGCUUGAUAAUCAGAAAUUCCCCAACUGAUCAUAAAGACCCUGUAAUAAGGGUGCCGGGGAAGGCAAUGCCAAGGAAAUGCAUGAUUGCGCUCCAUUUUAUAACAGCUGGUGAUAAACCCGAAUUCUGCUUCACCUGAAAAACAACAUGGAUUCGGUGCAGCUUUGCAAAUCUGCGUUCCCACCUGCAGUUCCGUGGUCAUGCUCAGAUGGAUUUAUCUCUGGGCUUAUCUCCAGGAAAGUUUGGGCAUGACUGGAUAUAUGUCCGUGUACAGGUGAGCAACAGCCCCAGCCUCUUAGAUGUAUAACUGUCUCCAUCGACAUGAAAAAUGUGAACAAUUUGGCUUCAAGUAAUGAGGCAGUUUGAUGUGAGCAGAUUCGCAAGCAGUAAGAGAGAACCUUUUAAAUUGGGAUUGCAGGGCCCGGGGAGAAACGCGCAUGCUCGCUAGCGUGCCGUGGCGUGUGCGUUAGGUCCCUGGAAUCCAGAUGCUCUACCUGAAAGUAAUGAGGCUUCUCCAAGGGUGUGGGUGCCCGGGUGCUACUUAAUUUCUUCUCAUUCUCUUCUUCUUGUCGAACAAAAUGAAUCAUAAAGUUGUUAUUCACGUUAGUGCAUAUACUAAAAGUAAAUCGUAUAAAGUCAUUGAUGUAAUGAAAUCAAAGCGCCUGUAUCACAAUUACUGUACAGACGUGCUGCUGAAUCCAUGAGUUGAAGCCUACCUUUUAGCUGAGCCAACAAAAACAGACUUCAGGCUCCGGGGAAAGGAAAGGGCAAUGGUAUAUUUCAAAUGACUGCUCUGUGCCCAGCCCUGUUGUUCGAAGGUACGUUUCUUGGAACACUUCGGGGUGUGCGUCCAGGUUGCCACACAGGACAGUGGACACUAGAACUUCCUGGGCACCACAGGGCUCCAGCUGUGCUUGGGGGAUUGUGAAUGAUCACGUGCUAGGAGCCUCUUGCAUUUCCCGAGGAGAGCAUUCUUGCAAGGGCUUCUUCGGAGACUGGCACCGAGAGAUGGCCUGGGAAGGUCUUACUACUCCCAUUAAAGAAAGAAAGUUGCCAUUAAGGCACAUCUCCAAAGCCAGAUGCACCGGUGUAAGCCUGAAAUACCAGCACUCUAGGAGGGGGAAGACUGGAGAGUGGCAAGUUCAAAGCUGGCCUGGGCCACAUGUGAAUUCAAGUGUCAAAACCACAAGAGCUGAGGCUGGAACUCAGUGGCAGAUACCUGUGUGUGAAAGACCUCGGGUUCCAUCGCCGUUACCGGAAUGAAAAAUAAUCUGGGGGAUUGAAGUACCAACAAUCGAAUGAUACAGACAAGCAUUUAAAGCACAUAACUCCCUUCUGUUAGUGCGGAAGAUGAUCUAGGGCACGUAAGAGGAAGCCAAGCAUUCCUGAAAUCCCAACACUCAGGAGGUAGAGGCAGGAGGAUGAGUGGUUCAAGGCCAGUUUUCGCUGCGUAGUAAGUUAAAGGUAAGCAGUGAUCUACAUUUUAAGGCCCGGACUUCUGCCCGCCCCUGCACAAGGUGGGAAACCCUGUCUGCUCUUCUUCCCCCAAACCCACCCACAGGGAGAAAACUCCAGCUAACAUGUCAUCACUCCGCGCCUCUGCAUUUCCGGCAACCCACCCAAGAGUGCCUGCAAAGGGACUCAGUUUUUGACCGAAUGUUGACACAAUCCCAGCUCCUAGCUAAGGGAUCAUUACUCCUCACCUAAACUCUAUAAAACGCCCUUGCUUAUCCUGCGUAUGUAACUCCAUUGGCAUCCUCCUGUGAAAUCAGCAAACCCAACAAGAGCUGCCUCCUAAUAA
Molecule: non-coding RNA, 1990 nt
Organism: Rattus norvegicus (Norway rat)
Lineage: Eukaryota; Metazoa; Chordata; Mammalia; Rodentia; Muridae
Source: RefSeq, a predicted model, not a curated record